Molecule: non-coding RNA, 96 nt
Filed under: Denitratisoma oestradiolicum
Lineage: Bacteria; Pseudomonadati; Pseudomonadota; Betaproteobacteria; Nitrosomonadales; Sterolibacteriaceae
Description: Glycine riboswitch aptamer
Rfam family: Glycine riboswitch aptamer
About the family: This family represents the bacterial glycine riboswitch. Glycine riboswitches usually consist of two metabolite-binding aptamers domains with similar structures in tandem.
Source: Rfam by way of RNAcentral
CCCCGGUCGUUGGGAGAGGGCACCUCCCUAUCAGCGAGAUGCCGCCGAAGGCGCAACCCCCAGGAACCGCUCAGGCAAAAGGGCCAACGACGCAGC